AGGGCUUUCUAGAAAGCACCACCAGAGCAGAAAAUACCUGAGGUUUAUAAGGUAGCCACAGGUAAUUUGCUGCUGCUGAAAUUGUCUAAAAUGCAGGUUUUGCCACACUCUCUAUUGCUUGGCAGUGUCUAUAUCCCCCAAGGAAAUUGCUGCUGACAGCUCGACAAGUUGCUCCACACCAGCCUGCCACCUGGGUGCCAUAUCAUGGACUAGGGUCUCUCACCACACCAAACCCCAAAGGAAACACAGCAUGGGGAGAUGAUGGUUCUCCACCUUGUUCUAUUUCCAUCACUGAGUGGCUAAAUAUCCUUCCCGUGAUGCUAGAGAGUAGUUGAGGCAUUUCUUUCUGCCUGACUUGAGUUCAAGCCUCAAAUCUUGAAGGUGUGAUGGCACUCCCUUAGCCUGCUCCUUUACUCUGCAAGAACUUAGCGCCAUUGAGCCCCCAAAAAAGAAACUGGCCCUAGGGCCAGGCUGUGCCCACCACCACCUGCACAUCUCCCAGAACUUCCCACUCCCACAGUAGGGAAAGCUCAAACCUUUAGCAGAGCCAUUUUGACACACUUGGUGACUCUGAGCAUAAUAGAAAACAGACACUGACAUCCAUGGCCCCUAAGGAAACAUGGGCCCUUGCUUUAACUUGCACCUUUCCAUGCACCUUUCUGCUUGACUGCUUCCACACAAACAUCCUGUGUCUUAAAUGCAUCACCUCCAUUGGCAGCCAAGAGUCAAGUUUACUCUUAGUCAACUCUGAACUGCUACCAUGUCCCUGGAAGCAGCUGCUGAUACAAUAAAGAGACACUGAGAGCAUGCCAGCACUUAACAAUUAAUAGUUAAUGAAACACAGCCUCCCUUGUCCUCCUCUUUCAGGAGAUAAGCUUCACAGACAGCAGCACCCCACCAGGCUUAGCCCAGGGUGCUGGGCUGCACCAGGGCCACGGCCACAGCUGUAGCCAUUUGUCUGCACCUCCAAACCCUGCCUGCAACAGAGAGUGCCCUCCCAGAGUCGCAGCCUCCUCAGCUCUCUGACAGGACAGGCAAUGCCCUUUAGAAGGCAAGAGGAGGAAACCCGAGCUGCUCAAGCACCUGGCUACAAGAGGGCUGGGAGGAACCGGCUCCCAAGUGUAACUAACCAUUCAAGCCUUUCUGUCUCGUCUCUUUCCUUGCGGUGCUCCGGGAAGGAGCAGAAGCUGUCUGUAAAUUGCAGUUUAAAACCAUAAUACCCCUGCAUUGAACUGUCGUCAGAUGGUUGCAGUUUUCUAAUCUGCAUUUUGUCUGAAGGAAAUGAGAAGCAGAAUUUCUCCUUCUUCCAAAGCCCUGUUAAUUUUAAUCCUUUUGCAUGGAGCUGGAUUCAUGCUGCAGCCAGGGCAUUAAACCUGAAACAAGGUGGAUCCAAAUGGAAAAAAAUGUAGAUGAUUACUGGCCAUCUGCCAAAAAGACGCUUGGGGACGUGAAAAUUCUGGAAUCACUGAAGGUUCAUUUUGAUCAAAUAUUCAUAUUCUGAGCCAUGUAUCAACAAUUUUAGUGUUUAAAGACAAGAAGGUUGUGGAGGGGAAUACUGACACCAUCCUUCACAGGGGAGUUUACUUUCAGACUUAGAUAAAGGAGAAUAUGUUGUUAAAGAAGAAUGGAGCAAACAUUAAGAUGUGUUUAAAUGAAGGUGCAAAAGCACUGGAAACAGGAGUUGCUUCCCUCGGGGAAAGCAGUGGGUGGGGAACAGAGAGGUCAUAGUAACGCACUCAGCUUUUAAGUUAAGAUUAACCAUAUGUAUGAACAUUUGGGAAAUGCUUCAUGUAUUUUCGUUUCCACAGAUUCAUUGUACUAAUUCCAUUAGACAGGACUAUCUUUUUUAACUGAAGGAGCUGCAGUCCUACAGCCUCACAUGUGUAGGUGGAGUCCUACAUUUGAAGGCCUGAAAAUAUAGACUAGCCAACACCUUCUCAUUGCUUUCAUUCUGUGAUACUUUAUUUCUCUGGUACUGAAAGGCACCUUUUUCUUGGAAAAACUGUCUUCUCCAUCACGUUUGGUCCACUUAUUGCAGAAUAGCUUAACAAGAUCUUUCUGUGAUCAGCAGCAAGAUUUUUCUAGCAGAAUAUUUUUCUAUUCCUGAGCAUUUCACAAACCACCUCUGAUUUUCUCAGGCAGAUUUGAUAAGCUACGUUAUUCAAAUAUACAUCAACUCAUGGGCUGUGCAGAAUGUUCUUGUGUGAUUUGUCUUCAUUACUGCGCCAGUUUGAUUGCACAUCUUGGUCACAGGAACCACACGUGACAGACUGUUUCUUCCUAGUAAGCUGAGCCUAAAUGAGAUAAACCAGGGAAGUUCUGUAAACAAAUGAAAUGGUUUUGAGGGCUGUUCUGCCAAUGGAAGAUUGAUUUGUGCUCCACCUAUUCUAUCCUUGCUUCCUUAUUACUUGCAUUUCCUCAACAAACAUGCCAUGAAUAUAAAAAUAUGAAACAAAUAAUUAAAACUAGCCAUAAGUGAAAAAUUCCUACUGCAGGGAGAUCCAUUUGGACUUAGCAAAUUGGUGUCCGAAUGCUUUUUACUUUGUUAGGGGCAGUGAGAGGGGAACGAAGACAAGGUCAGACGUUUGAGGCCAUCCCUAUGAGGGAGUAAUGGCAUUCUCAGGACUUACUCACUUGGAUUUGGCAGAGACAGCCUACCAUCCACAUCAGACCAUGGGUAGAAAUGAAGUUUUGUGCCUACUCUUGGCUUUGCAGACAGGUGCAGAACUGAUAGGGGUUUACACAUCAGAAAUGUCAAAGACAGCUUGGCCGUGGUCUGUUUUUUACCUUUAAUUUCCCUGCUGUCUAGGUUCAACCUUGCUUUCCCACCUUAUCCCCAUCCAGGAAUGGUUAGGUCAGCUUUUGAUAGGGUAAGACUUAAUGAGGAGUUUCUCCAUUUCACCAUUGCCCAUGUUUUUCCCAGCCUAGACAGUGCUGUGUGUUGCAAGGUAGAGCAUAGAUUCCACAUUCACUCCCGUUGAUGGUGUGUCAAGCAGUGACAAUCUGGCACUUGGUUUCUGACGCAACUCAUAUCAAAGAAAUCUGCAUAUGACACAUACAUUAAAAAGAUAUUUUUGGUUCUUUGUGCUCUGGUUUUAUAAUAUAAAAAUGGCCAAGCCAUCUCCAGUGGUGCAUCUAGACCAGCUCCAUAUGGUCAAACGCAAGAAUAAAAGCAAACUAAGAACUGAGUGGUAUUUCAUUUUCCAAUAGUCCCAGAGACUUAGCUUACUGGUUUUCUAAGACAAAGACUAAUUUUGCACCUUUGUGUUUAGUAGUCUUUGAUGAAUGUUUCUUUUGCUUACAUAUCUAACUGCCUUUUCAACUGAUUUAUACCUGGGCACCAGUGAAAUGAAGUGGGAGAUGCAGACUGUCUUUACCAGUGAGAAUUCUCACUCUUUUAUCUUUUUACAUUAAAUGAUAUUAGACACAAGACUAACACUUUUUUUAAAGUUGUUUCAGAACAGGUUAUUUCUGAUAUGAGAAGAAAUAUAACAAAUUCCAAUCAAAAUGUGAUAAUUUUAGGAAGGGUAGAUGUUGCUGUAAAUAAGGCUCGGAAUGAGAGGAAAAAAAAAAAAAAAAGACUUUUGAGCUCUAGAUAUAGCACUAUAACAAGAGAUUGUAUAGAAAAUUAAUGACAGCAUUUUAGCUAGCUGAACUGACCAGAGUGACUAUUUGAUUUUAACCCUGCUAAGAGCACCACAUAAGUAAUUAAAGCUGUUGGGUAUGACGACUGAAAGGGGCACGCAGAGCUUGGCAACACUGCUCCCACCCUGCAGGGCCACAUCCCCAUCUCUCUGCCCAGGCACAGAAGACUUAGGGAACACUCUGAACCGGCCGCAUGCCUGCCCACCCAGCACUGAGAUGCCCUGAGAUGUACCAGCAGGCACAGAGAUGGGACCCUCUCUUGCCAAGAGGCCAGUUUGUCAGCUCCCUCCCUACUAGAAGCAGCUGGCAGGGCUGCCUGUGUCACUCCUUUUGGCCAAAACCGCCAGGUCACUAGUUUACCCACUGAGGAUUGCUGGUUCAUAGCAGGUUCCCCUUCAGUGAUGGCAGGUCCCAAAAUAGUAAGCACCUUUUUUAGGUGGGAAUUUUCAAGUUUUCAGUGUCCAUUAUAGGAAAAUAAAGACAAGCCAUGCGGACAUUAUUUCCCCAGAGAAUUAACAAACUGGGAAUGCCGGCAUCUGGUGUGAAAGCUGUGCUCAUGAUCUAUUCAGAAUAAAGGCAUUAUGAAAGGAGAGGGAGAACAUGGUUUUGUGUUUGCCAUUAGAAGUGUUGUUAUGGUGCUCUGUGUUCUGUUACACAUUUUAUUAGGAUAAUAAUUUCAGUAAACUACAUCUGGCUUUCCUGAAGGCUGUCCCCUCAGGUUAAGCAGGCUGUCUAAAAAUAUCUCCGUUUUUUCUUAAA
Molecule: non-coding RNA, 4404 nt
Organism: Meleagris gallopavo (turkey)
Lineage: Eukaryota; Metazoa; Chordata; Aves; Galliformes; Phasianidae
Source: RefSeq, a predicted model, not a curated record